CAUCUCAAAGGAGAGAGGACCUGAGAGUAAAAAAAAUAAGAAAGGAGAAAAAGUGAGGACGGGCCUUCUUCGCAGUCUGCAAGGGGCUCAACGUAGCAGUCCUCUGGCUUUCGCUCAUAAGCACCAUGGCCAAGCUUCGUAUCCGCAAACCUAGCUGGAGAUAAACGAAUUGCUUCAGUAUUGUUUUUCUUGUUACUAUAGCUGACACCGAUCUCUCUUGCGUACAGGCCUGGAGAUAUUAGAUUGUUCCCAUGAGCACAAUUGCGCUCUUCGAUAACUCUCUGGCUAAACAUGAUCGGCAAACAUUGUCCUAUAUUUGCUGUUAAUCGCGAGGUAUCUCUGUUUUUGAAUAACUCAAUUUAUGCUUCCAUCUCUUAUUCUAUUUUGGCCGGAGUGGGUGUUGGUAGGUGUUUUGAAUUGUGUUACAUUUGGGUGUAUGAUGUCCAUGGUUUGAUUCCGACAGCAAAACCAAAAGAUUGUGCUGAUCCCUACAAAAUGUAAGAAAUAUGUUCCUUCGGUGUUAUAUUUAGAAGUCUCAGAUAUAGCUUUCGUUGGUAAUUUUUGCAAGCAAAGAACCCUGUUGAUAUCAUUGAAGUAAUUCCACUAUGUUUUAAAUCUAUAUUCUAGCUUAGCUCAAUUUAGCAAGUAAACUUAUUGUUAAAUGAAUCACUUUGGAAAUCUGUUGGGAGGAAUUACGUUUUUGGCGCGGCUUUAUAGUUUGAUUUGGAACUUCAAAAUUAAACAAACUAUGUUUCACUUUCUAGUACUUGCACUCUCAUCUGAAUCUCUAUUUUUAUUUUCAGAUGAUAGGUUUUAAGGCUUAUUUUAACAAUAUGCUUUCAUAUUUGAUUCGAUGUUUGAUUUUGAGUUUCUUUUCAAUCCCAAUUUACAUUGAAAGAAGUCCUUUAUAUUGAGAGGAGCUUAAUUUUUUUUUACCAGGGAGAUAUUAUACUUUGACCAAUUUUUCCAAAUGCACCAAAUAACAGAAAGUAGUAAAAAUAUUUUCAUGAAAUAUAUUUUCUGUGAAACAAAUGGAGCAUAUAUUUCUAUGAAUUAUCCUUAUUUUUGCAGUGAUUUUAGUUUAUUUGUAGUAUUUGAGGUUUGAGGAGUGGACUAUGCAUACAGUAACAUCAAACAGAUAAUCCAUGAAUAACUUGGAUUAUUGAGCCCUUGUGUCAGUUUUUCCUCCGGGACAAUCAUAUUGCCACAGAUAUGUGGAAACUGGAAUGAUCAAUUGGGCUUUGUUCCAGGGUUGAAGCUGACAGUUUGGGUAAAAAUUGUCACUUGUAAUGUUUGAAGUUUUGUGGACCUAUAUUGAUAUCUGUAUAGGACAUAAAUCAUCAAGCUGCCAGUCAUUUGACAACCAAGUGCUUCCCCAGCUAUGUCUUCUAAUUGAUAGAGGGCAUUUUGAAAUUUGAAUUAAGACUUGGUUUCAUUUGCCUUUCUAAUACUACCUUUGCACAUUAAAAUGUCAUCUUAAAUGUCUAUUUUUUUGCAGCCCAUUCGCAAACUACCCAUACAAAUGUUCAAGACUCGUAUAUGGUUUUUACCUCUUAGUUCCUGUUUCGUUAAGGUCUAAUUGAUGAUUUAUCCUUUAUGAAGUGCAGUUCAUUUAUCAUAUUUUUUCUUAGUUACUCAACUGUCCGACAUUAUGUGAUUUGAAUUAGAAGUGAGAACUAUAGUAGUUCAAAAAUGUAAUUAAUUUUUUCUUGAUGACCGGGGACAACAACUAGAGAUAGAUGUUAAUUCUAGAUUCUAUGUGUUUGGGCCAGGUAAUUAUUUCUGCUCAAACUGAAAGUAGCAGGUUCGGAGUUGUGCUGACUAAUAGUUUUAUUAUCCCCUGCUUGCAUGAGUAAAUGCUUUAUGACAAUGAAAUUGAUGUUUAUGCAAUCUGAAGUUAAAACUUGUGCAAAAACAGGGUUGAUGCUGUCUUUCAUUCUCUCAAUCUAUACCUUGCAAUCAUUACAAGGCAAAUUAACGAGCUAGUUUGUUUUUAAGCAGGCUAUUCAGGAGCUCUACACUUUUAGCUUUUUAGGCUAAAAACUAAAGACCGUGAGCUUUUCAAAUAUGCCUAUUCAUGUAGUUUUAUUCUUUUUUGCCUUUCAUAUUUCUCCCUCAUAGUAUGUUUUCCGAUUAUGUUUAUAUUUGUGAGGGGAUCCUUGCAUAAAGCAAUGGUCCUGCUGGAAGAGUGGCAUUCAGAAUUCUCAACACAUUGCAAGCACAAAUAGAGGUUUCUUUACUUCCAAGAAAUUGUCGGCAAGUGAGGCAGCAAUGCAUACACCAUUGUGGGUAGUAGCCAGACAGAAGAAGGUAAUAGAUGGAAAGAAAGAAAUUAUAUGAAGGCGAAGCAUAAUUAUGGUUGGAGCGGCAAACGAAUAGGAAGGAAGAGUGAGGUGGCAGAAGAGAAGUAGGCCACGCAACUAACAGUUUCUUGCUACCCAACUAUUGACAAGGACAGGUGUUGCUGUGAUAGUAGAAGGCAAAAGUCCUAUUUGUCAUAACAUGAGUAGGUAACUGCACCUAUAUUUGCUCUAUUGCCUGAAUAUAAAAUCCAUUUCUUUUUGGA
Long non-coding RNA from Manihot esculenta (cassava), 2566 nucleotides. RefSeq lists it as uncharacterized. The transcript is spliced from 3 exons. The record is from RefSeq and is a predicted model, not a curated record. Lineage: Eukaryota; Viridiplantae; Streptophyta; Magnoliopsida; Malpighiales; Euphorbiaceae.